ACUAUAUUGGCAGAUAAGUGCAUUAAAUUUAGAAUUUAAAUAUUAUAUUAUAUUUAUAAUAUAGUA
Molecule: transfer RNA, 66 nt
Filed under: Cerceris quinquefasciata
Lineage: Eukaryota; Metazoa; Arthropoda; Insecta; Hymenoptera; Crabronidae
Also listed under: 1 other name
Description: tRNA-Leu
Source: RNAcentral